UGGGGUGUAGCUCAGUGGUAAAGUGCAUGCUUAGCAUGCAUGGGGCCCUGGGUUCCAUUCCCAGAACCCAAA
Molecule: transfer RNA, 72 nt
Filed under: Ictidomys tridecemlineatus (thirteen-lined ground squirrel)
Lineage: Eukaryota; Metazoa; Chordata; Mammalia; Rodentia; Sciuridae
Description: Spermophilus tridecemlineatus (thirteen-lined ground squirrel) tRNA
Rfam family: tRNA
About the family: Transfer RNA (tRNA) molecules are approximately 80 nucleotides in length.
Source: Rfam by way of RNAcentral